GACCCGCACAAGCGGUGGAUGAUGUGGUUUAAUUCGAUGCAACGCGAAAAACCUUACCCACCUUUGACAUGUAUGGAAGUCGCCAGAGAUGGCUUCGUGCUCGAAAGAGAACCAUAACACAGGUGCUGCAUGGCUGUCGUCAGCUCGUGUCGUGAGAUGUUGGGUUAAGUCCCGCAACGAGCGCAACCCUUGUCAUUAGUUGCUACAUUCAGUUGGGCACUCUAAUGAGACUGCCGGUGACAAACCGGAGGAAGGUGGGGAUGACGUCAAGUCCUCAUGGCCCUUAUAGGUGGGGCUACACACGUCAUACAAUGGCUGGUACAAAGGGUUGCCAACCCGCGAGGGGGAGCUAAUCCCAUAAAACCAGUCGUAGUCCUGAUCGCAGUCUGCAACUCGACUGCGUUAAGUCGGAAUCGCUAGUAAUCGUGGAUCAGAAUGUCACGGUGAAUACGUUCCCGGGU
This 461-nucleotide ribosomal RNA is filed under the name uncultured bacterium. RNAcentral describes it as "bacterial SSU rRNA". It matches the Rfam family "Bacterial small subunit ribosomal RNA", at positions 918 to 1379 of the family's 1533-position model. The record is from RNAcentral.